Onychostoma macrolepis is the source of this 6021-nucleotide long non-coding RNA. RefSeq lists it as uncharacterized. The transcript is spliced from 12 exons. Lineage: Eukaryota; Metazoa; Chordata; Actinopteri; Cypriniformes; Cyprinidae. The record is from RefSeq and is a predicted model, not a curated record.
GUUACAGAUGAGCUUACAUAAAAAAAUAAAACAAAAGGAACGCUGGAUAAAGUGGAUAUUUACCAACGAUAUUAACGGAGACAAAACUUAUAAGAUAAAUCGUGUCGAUUUUCAUCAAUUCAACACCUGCACGUGCUACAGAAGCCCAUGGGCCAGACAGCAUGAUCAGUGUACAGUAAGUGAAUGAGAGCACGGAGGGCCCGUCACCUCAUGAGCGAGGUUAAAGACGCCAUGCGGCAACAUCGCAGAUUAAUACCCACGUCUCCGACCGUCAGCGAGAGAUUUACGCCCUCUCUGCAGUAAGAAAGAGGCAGCUGUCUAAGCCCAGACAGGAGACAGCAGAAGUUUGAUGUGUGUGUCUGGCUGUCAGCUCUCUAAAUCCUCCACAUCAAAGCUGCAGCGAGAUGUGAUUUCCACACGAUUACGCAGUCACAAAGUCAUCAUUCGAGGGGCUGGAAAGUGCUGAUGAACGCUGUUGUCCGGAGAGGUGCUGGCCUGACGGGAUGAUGGGACGGAGGAAUAAAGCAAGAGCAGUGUGGUGUUCUCAUCUCUUCAGAUCUCAGCACAAAGGCAGUAUGGAAUCAAACCUUGAGGACAUUGAACACCUAAAACCUGGUCUUAACCUCGUCUUGCAGUCUGUUCAGUGGCCACAUGAUGCAUAUUGCACACAAAACUGGUAAACAUUUUCCAAAAAUUGCUGCUUUUAUUUUUUUCCACACAAUUCACAGUGACUGCUUCAUUAUUUCAUGUUUUACCUGUCCAAAACUGUCCAAACCCCAGCUCUGAGAGACUUGUUAAGACUUUGCCUUCCACUGGUCAAUACCAGAGCCGUCACUUUCCACAGUUAAUGACCUUUCCUCAGGCAACACCUUCACCGAGAGCAGCAGUGACCUCUGCUCAUGUCCCCCGAGGUCAGCGCCGGACCGGUGACCUCUCAAAGUCAAAGGUCUCGGCCAAUUGCAAUCGACAUCUGAACAGAUGGAAAACUGCGAUGGCCUACAGAUAAACUCAUAUAUCCUGAUCAAACCUCUGCUUUGCCAUAUAUGCCCUUUCCACACAGUAAUAACAGUAAAUUGUCAUAAAAUUACUGAAACGACUUUACCUUUAAAUACAAAAAUGCUGUUCACACAGGCAACGGCAUUCCAUCUUUUUAACGGUAAAGCACCAUUCACACAUCGGUUUCAAAUUGCCGGCAAAUUUUGUGACAUUAUUAACCAGAAAUGACCUCUAAACAGCUUUGUCUCCUGGUGUUGUGUUUGUAAACAUGGAGGGGUAAACGCGAUCAGUGUUCGAACUACACAGCGUAGUGUAAAUGCGUCAUUUGCAUCAGAAUGUUAUGAUUGGCCCAGAGUCAUUGAAUUUUGAAUUUCAACGGCUCUUGAUUGGCCCAGAACAAACGUCUUACGUCCACGCGUUCUGAACUUGUACGUGCUCAUACCAGUAAUCUUGUUCUGCGUUCACAUAGAGCACAUUACAGGUAAUUUGCUGGUAAUGUUACAACUACUCAUACCGGUAAAUUGCCGGAAACUAAUUUAUUUUUGAAAAGGUAUUGUUCACACAUGAUCUCUUUAACGGUAAUCUACCGGUAAUUUACCAGUAAAGUCUAUAUGUGUAAAAGGGGCAAUAGUCUUUCCCUCCUCUAAAACAGUUGCUUUCUCACAAAUAUGAGCAACAAUAUCACAAUUUCUGUGUGUGUGUUUGUGUUUGCAUUGGCGCUUUCAUCUGUGUGCCCACGUGUACGAGAGGAAGGUAAAGGUGAAAAGCAGGAUUAGAGGAGGCCGAAGCAUUUGGAAGAUGGACUGCGAGGCUGAACGAUUCACCAGCCGACAAUCUCAGCUUCACACGUCGGUUCACUGGAGCUCAAAGGUGGCUUAAGAGGACAUAUUCGCUUGGCUACACAGACGUCGACUCUUAAAAGGUUGCGAGAAGAGAGCAGACCGGCUAGAAAUAAUGGUCACUUUCAGAGGAAAACAGCCAAUUGCCUCCCUUGUUUUUAUUGAAGGCGUCUCGCUGCGAUUUAUGCCGCUGUUGAGCAGUUGUAGCAGAUCUUUAAGUUGUCUCUGUGUCUUUGGAAGCAUCUGAUGCAUUUACAGUGCAUUCAAGAUAUGCUUUUUAACAGUGUAACAAACCCAUGAUUCGUGAUAUUCGUACAAGAUAUAAACUGCAGCUAGUGCCAUUGACUGCACAGGCCUGAAAUGAAGAAAAGCUGGAAAUGAAUCUCACAAAUCAUCACCAUAGAGAGGAACAGAGUCAGGGGGUCAGGCUUAAAUGUUGUCAUGAUGCUAGAUAGUUGCUAGGGUGUUGCUAAGGAAUAUAAGGUGGUCACUAGGAGUUGUUAAAAGGUCCUUUGUGUGGUUUGUAAGGCAUUGCAAUAUGGUUGCUAGGGAGUUGUUAAGGUGCUUGCUGGGGUGUUUGCUAGGCAGUUGCUAAAGAGUUUAAGGUGGUCGCUUGGGAGUUGUUAAGGUGUUCUGGGUGGUUUGGAAGGCAUUACAAGGUGGUUGCUAAGAAGUUUUUAAGGUGGUUGCUGGGGUGUUGCUAGGCAGUUGCUAAGGAGUUUAAGGUGGUCGCUAGGGAGCUAUUAAGGUAUUCUGGGUGGUUUGGAAGGCAUUGCAAUAUGGUUGCAAGGGAGUUGUUAAGGUGGUUGCUGGGGUGUUGCUUAGGGAGUUGUUAAGGUAUUCUGGGUGGUUUGGAAGGCAUUACAAGGUGAUUACAAAAGUGUCCUGGGUGAUUACUAAGGUAUUGCUAGGUGGUUGCUAGGAUGUUAUCGAUGGUUGUUAGGGUGUUGCUGGGUAGUUGCUAGGGAGUCAAGUUGUUCUUGGUUGUUCGUAUAUGUGGUGUUCUGGGAGAUUAAGGCAUUGCUAAGUGUUGUUAGGUAGAUCUGGGUGGUUGCUAGGGAAUUGUUAUGGUGUUUGCUAUGGUGCACUGAGUGGUUUGUAGGAUGUUGCAUGUGUGUUCUAAAUGUGUUCUGGGUGAUUACUAAGCCAUUGCUCAUUGGUUGUUAGGGUUUUGUGGGUGUUCUAGAGUUUUAGGUGUUUGCUAGGGAGUUGUUAAAUUGUUCUCAGAAGUUGCUAGGGUGCACUGGGUGGUUUGUAGGACAUUGCAUGUGUUCUUCUGAAUGUGUUCUGGGUGAUUGCUAAGGCAUUGUUUGGUGGUUGCUAAGGAGUUUAAGGUGGUUGCUAGGGAGUUGUUAAGGUGUUCUGGGUGGUUUGGAAAGGUUGUUGCAAAAGUGUCCUGGGUGAUUGUUAAGGAACUGCUAGGUGGUUGCCACAAUGUUUUUGAUGGUUGCUAAGGUAGGGCUGCUCGAUUAUGGGAAUAAUCAUAGUCCCGAUUAUUUUGGUCAAUAUUGUAAUCAUGAUUAUUUAACAUGAUUAUGAGUGGGCCAUAUGACCAAAAGAUUAUAUGAGUAAUUUAUUUAAAGAUAGAGAUAUAUAUCAAAAAUAUAUUUUCUGUAAACUAGGCUGCUAUGACAUUAUUUAAAAAAAACAGCAGAAUUUCACAAUACCACAGCAGAAUACCAGGGUAAUUUAUAUAAGUUACAAAUGUCCAUCAAUCAAGAGCAGUGAGUGUUUUUCUUUUUGUUUUUUGUUUAUUGAUUAAUAGACCCUUUUAGGGCCUACAUCACAGCGCUAGCUGGAGGCAAAACAAAGCGAAAACUGGAGGCGGCCCAUUCAAAACAGCGCAGAUUCGGCUACAUAAGGAGCUUAAAAUAUCAUCUUGUUGUGAUGUUGGGUGCCAGAAUCAAUGUAGUAGAGGCUUCAAUUUGAAAUUAACACAUACCUGCUGCGUCUGCCAUAUAAAAAACAACGACAGCUGUGGUUAAACGCGAUAAAACGAGCGGACUGGACAGAAUAAUGUAGCUGUAAAAAUAGUUGCCUAUUAAAAUUAAAUAUAUACAUCUUCACGACACAGAGCAUGACGCAAGCACGCAGGACGUAAACGCUGUGACCUACUGACGUCGAGGACAGCAUACACCGUAAACAGAGUUUACGUGCUGCGUCAUCUGAGGCGUGCUUGCAUCGUGCUCUGCUAGUGAACUCAUGAACACGCUUGCAGGAAGUGUCAUGGAGGAGCAGAAAAAGUUGAAUAAAGUCGAUAUUUUGUUUUCUUUGCGCACAAAAAGUGUUCUCGUCGCAUCAUAAAAUUCAGAUUGCACGUCUGAUGGCAGGUGGACUGUUUUGACUAAGUUUUUCAUACUUUUAAUUUGCUAUGCAGUCAAUAGGACAGUCACAAGCCUCCCGGUUUUCAUCUAAAAUAUAUUAAAUUGCGUUCCGAAGACGAAUUAAGCUUUUACGGAUUUGAAACGACAUGGGGGUAAGUGAUUAAUGACACAAUUUUCAUUUUGGGGUGGAGUAUCCCUUUAAUUGUGAAAAGAGUCCUGCACCCUCAAAUCUCUCUGAUAUUUAGAUACUGUAUGCUAUAGGGUGCUCCUUUUUUCAUAAAUUUUUUCAUCCACCAGGUGAAAGUGUGAUCACGUAAUGAAGUAAUCAAGGACUCAUUUACAUCCAUUGUUUUGUAGAGAAAUUGUCUGCUAAAUAUUUCUGAAACAUCCAGCACUCACAGCUUUGCCGUGAAUGUUUGAACAUAGCCUGGACAAUGAAGACGCCUUGUUCCCCGAGAAGACAAAAGGUCAAACGCUCACGUUUCCCCAGCACAGAGAUGAAUCCCUCCCUCUCCCGGACCCUCGCCCCCCCGAACUCCAGGCCCGCUGCUGGGGCGCCUUUGUUCACUUCCCUCCAUUAUGGGGAAAAAUAGUGAUGCACUGUAAAACCAAAGCCGUGAUUCCCUCUAGACUUUCUGCUCAUGGUGUCCCAGGUGAGGAUCUGCCCCCCCUCCCCGUGCACGUCUAACCCAAAACCCAGACCUCCGCAGGGGCCUUGGGAUCCUGGCUCCCGGUGGGAUGCAAACACAGAUGCCGGCAGUGGUUUAUUCCCAAAUGCGAACACUCUAACUGCUGUUAGACCAACACAAGAUUCACAGCAGCUAUGAUUAUCCUCAUAAAAGGUGUUAAAACUCAGGUAAAGGACUGACCUUCGUGGAGGGAUCCGGAUGGUGCACAGGUUCAUUUUUCAAUCUGCUCCUCUUCAACACUGUAAUCACAGCAUUUCGAGCGUCACUCGGCUCUGUCCUGUUUCUCAUAAAGCAGCCUAUCGUUGACCUAUCAGAGACUGAAACCAUAUGCAGAGCGGCCAUAAUAUCAAGCUGAACAUUAUCAUCCUUCCAAACUGCAGGAAUAUCGCGUCUGGAGUGGACGGGGUUCACAAAGCAUGUUAAAAUAUGCAAAUAAAGGCUCUUAAGAGCUUGCACAGUGGUUGGUUUCCGAGUCGAAUGCUAACGAUUAUUAAUUUGGAGGGGUUUAAUCUCAGCGCAUGGAAAAGGGCCCUUUUCUGUGGUCAGGAAUGUUGAUUGGAUUUUGGAACGCACACUCAAAAUAAUAAAAAAAAAAUACAAAAAAAACUAUUUCACAUUAGCAAAAUAAUAACCCAGUGACAUGGGUCGAUUGGUUUUCUUUUCACAUAUUAGAUCAACCAUGUGAGAAAUUGGAAAGAAACUGUUGAAGUGUGUUUCUCGACUGCUCAGCGCUGAUAAUGAGUCAGGUCGCUAAUCCGUGAUUCUGCUCGGCUGUCCGAGGUUAAGAUGCACGGACGUUCGGUGUGUGUUCGAGGGUCACGUAUCCCGACCCGCUCCAGAUCAUCCUUUAAGGGCACUUUCACACUGGAGUUUACACUACAUCAGUGAGCACAGCGAAAACCAUUGGUUUUAAUAGGGAUGAGGACGUCAGUGCUGGAAAAAAGACUUUGAAGGUUUUAGGCAGAUUUUGGGCAGGGGGACAUGCUUAAGACCAAUAAACCAUCUUAAACCGUAAACCGCAUUUAAAAUGAAUCCCAUUUUAAGCAGACUUUAAAAGAGACUUGUGCAAGAUUUCCCAAGUGGGGGUUUGUGAGUUCAUGAAGUUAAAAAUCAAAUCAUAAAAUGUCAAAUUUAAAUAAAUAAAUAAGGCUGCAAUUGAAAUCAAAUUUAAAU